ACUAAAUUUGUUCCCAUGAAUGUGUGGGAUGUGCCAAUUAAUUGCAUCAUGCAAUAACGGUUAAUGGAGAAAUGGUGAGGCCUGAUUGGUUGAACGGAUACUAGAUACAAGAGAAAUUAAAAAGUGAGGUUAUUGUCAUUGUUUGAUAAAAAAAAAAAUACUUAUAUAACGUUUAAGUGAUGAUAUAAUAUUGAUAUAUUAAUAUGAUAAAUAAUGUGAG
RNAcentral lists this long non-coding RNA (220 nucleotides) under Glycine max (soybean). RNAcentral describes it as "long non-coding RNA (GMAX_LNC004503)". The record is from RNAcentral. Lineage: Eukaryota; Viridiplantae; Streptophyta; Magnoliopsida; Fabales; Fabaceae.